This 502-nucleotide ribosomal RNA is filed under the name uncultured bacterium. Its description in RNAcentral is "bacterial SSU rRNA". It matches the Rfam family "Bacterial small subunit ribosomal RNA", at positions 30 to 518 of the family's 1533-position model. The record is from RNAcentral.
AUUGAACGCUGGCGGCAGGCCUAACACAUGCAAGUCGAACGGUAACAGGAAGCAGCUUGCUGCUUCGCUGACGAGUGGCGGACGGGUGAGUAAUGUCUGGGAAACUGCCUGAUGGAGGGGGAUAACUACUGGAAACGGUAGCUAAUACCGCAUAACGUCGCAAGACCAAAGAGGGGGACCUUCGGGCCUCUUGCCAUCAGAUGUGCCCAGAUGGGAUUAGCUAGUUGGUGGGGUAACGGCUCACCAAGGCGACGAUCCCUAGCUGGUCUGAGAGGAUGACCAGCCACACUGGAACUGAGACACGGUCCAGACUCCUACGGGAGGCAGCAGUGGGGAAUAUUGCACAAUGGGCGCAAGCCUGAUGCAGCCAUGCCGCGUGUAAUGAAGAAGGCCUUCGGGUUGUAAAGUACUUUCAGCGGGGAGGAAGGUGUUGUGGUUAAUAACCGCAGCAAUUGACGUUACCCGCAGAAGAAGCACCGGCUAACUCCGUGCCAGCCGCAGC